CAGUCUGGCCAUGGCACUCUGAUAAUGCCACGUCUUUUCUAAUUUUGGAAAUUAAGCAGGGUUGGGUCUAUUUGUACUUAGAUACUUAGAUGGGAGACAAACUGAUUGGGUAAU
Molecule: ribosomal RNA, 114 nt
Organism: Marmota marmota marmota (Alpine marmot)
Lineage: Eukaryota; Metazoa; Chordata; Mammalia; Rodentia; Sciuridae
Source: Ensembl